Pseudophryne corroboree (corroboree frog) is the source of this 1465-nucleotide long non-coding RNA. RefSeq lists it as uncharacterized. Lineage: Eukaryota; Metazoa; Chordata; Amphibia; Anura; Myobatrachidae. The record is from RefSeq and is a predicted model, not a curated record. The transcript has 3 exons.
CUAGAGGGCGGUGCUGCACGCUGCCAGUGAAAGAAUAAUUCCUUACCCUUAGCUCAGCUGAGUUUCACGGCUCAGCAGGGAUGCUGCACCGCCCUCCCACAUGUUACCCACGCCCCCACGAUUGGAUCUCCCUCUCUCCCCCUCAUGUUGGGAGCUGCAGAUUGACCUUAAGGGGGGGUUGAUGGGGAGCUGGCACGGAAAGCAGUUUUGGUCUGCUGGGGAGUUUGACGGUCUGGGGUGACUGGGAGCUCAGAGGAGAGGCUGGAGCAGGAGAAGGAGUGGCCGUUCCAAAGAUCCAAAACCAGAACCUGCAAGGGCGAUUUUAGCAAAACCAAUACAAAACCAAAACACGAAGGAAAUACAGAUCCAACCCCAAACCCCAAGAUUUGGGCCAGCGCACAUCUCGUUAUGUGCAUGUGCAGCUGCCAGUUACAACCAAUCAAGUAGCACCACCCAUCCAGAGCAGCAGCACCAAAUGGGCACAUAUGAAUUCUGCCCCGUCGUUUAUGGGAGAAAUGAUCAUCCCUAAUAGGAAAAUCUGAAAUAUAAGGAAAUGUUACCCAUUACCCUAUAAGAAUAUUAUGUCGUCAUGAGAAGGACAAGUCGGUAUUUUAAACAAUAUGGUAUCCUAUUGAAAUUCCACCCUGAGGAAAUGCGGAAGUGCAAUAGAGACGGGGAACUUUGUUUGUCCCCGCUACUUAGCAACAGCGUGCAUCAUUAAGAAUAACAGGAUCAGCGACGGGGAAACAUCUCACUGGGAGCGGAAGUGACGUCGCGCACGGGGAAAUCACAGCCGCUGCCUAGCAACAGAAGACACCGGACGUGACGAACCUCGGAUAAGGACUAAGCAACGUCACGGAGGAAACAACCGGAAGUGACGUAUCGCUAGUAAAAACGGACUCCGAAAACGGACCUUUUAAAGACAAUACUUUUAUAAAGCACUUCGGAAAUAUCAGUUUAGUACAUUACAAGGAUACUUAUACUACAUGGGAUGUAUUUUUAUCUGCAAUUCAUGAUCGACGAUCAUAGGUUGUCAUGACAACAGUGAAUAACAAAUGGAGGGAGCCAUCUUUGAUCACAUAUGAAACAGGUUUAUUCUUGAUUGUGAAUUGUGAUUGGUUGAUCUGGAAAUAAAAAGGGGGGAUCUGUCAGUAGAGAGCACACUUGCCUUGAGAAAGGGCCUAGUAAGGCCUGAAACGCGUCGGCGCAGUUGGAGGUGACAUCUUGCUGUCUGUGGGAGAGGUGAUUGCCGCAAAAUCCAGAACGCCAUUUCCCGGGAGGCAGACUGGUAUUUAAGAACUUUGCUGUAUUGAGGACUUUGUUUCCUCAUACUAUAUGGUAAUUAUCCCAUUCUUACACCCAGUAUAGCUGUGCACCGGCUGCAUGUGCUCUGUUUACAUUGGAUAGGGGGAUAUGUUAUAAAAGUUUUAUAUGAAUAUUUUGUCAGAAAAAUAAACGGUAAUAC